This 600-nucleotide ribosomal RNA is filed under the name Escherichia coli. RNAcentral describes it as "bacterial SSU rRNA". It matches the Rfam family "Bacterial small subunit ribosomal RNA", at positions 40 to 634 of the family's 1533-position model. Lineage: Bacteria; Pseudomonadati; Pseudomonadota; Gammaproteobacteria; Enterobacterales; Enterobacteriaceae. The record is from RNAcentral.
CGGCGCGCUACCUGCAGUCGAACGGUAACAGGAAGCAGCUUGCUGCUUUGCUGACGAGUGGCGGACGGGUGAGUAAUGUCUGGGAAACUGCCCGAUGGAGGGGGAUAACUACUGGAAACGGUAGCUAAUACCGCAUAACGUCGCAAGACCAAAGAGGGGGACCUUCGGGCCUCUUGCCAUCGGAUGUGCCCAGAUGGGAUUAGCUAGUAGGUGGGGUAACGGCUCACCUAGGCGACGAUCCCUAGCUGGUCUGAGAGGAUGACCAGCCACACUGGAACUGAGACACGGUCCAGACUCCUACGGGAGGCAGCAGUGGGGAAUAUUGCACAAUGGGCGCAAGCCUGAUGCAGCCAUGCCGCGUGUAUGAAGAAGGCCUUCGGGUUGUAAAGUACUUUCAGCGGGGAGGAAGGGAGUAAAGUUAAUACCUUUGCUCAUUGACGUUACCCGCAGAAGAAGCACCGGCUAACUCCGUGCCAGCAGCCGCGGUAAUACGGAGGGUGCAAGCGUUAAUCGGAAUUACUGGGCGUAAAGCGCACGCAGGCGGUUUGUUAAGUCAGAUGUGAAAUCCCCGGGCUCAACCUGGGAACUGCAUCUGAUACU